GAAAGAUUUACAAAGCAGGGAAAUUAGCCAUGUAAAGAGGUAGAAAUAACCAACUAUAGACAAUAUAUAAUAUACUUAUUGAUAACUGUGCACUGUUUGGAAAGGCUGCAGAACCCACUUCUAGCUACCAUGCAAAUAAGUAUCUUAUAAUAACUACUAGUAAGAAAACCUUUAUAUUUUACCAUAAUCAAAAUGUAAGGCGGCCUAGAGUUACAACUUUUAACUACUCAUUGAGCCAACCUGCUGAGCUAUGAGGAUAAGGAUACUGAGGACCUGGAGCAAAGCCCAUUGAAUCAACAUGGCCGCCAGGAGGGCCUGGUCGAGGUGCUCUGGAAUCGUAUAUGAUAUUAUUUCUGUUCAACAUGGAUGGAUCAGAACCAAAAUUAUUCAUCCUUGUAUGGUUCAACUCAUCCAGUCGAGGUGCAUAUCGCUGCAUUGCAGGCAUGUUCAUCCUAUAGGAUGACUCUACAGCUGCACCCACAUGGCCAUAAGGGAUAGAUGAUAGUGGUCCCAUUUGGCCAUAUCCUGGUUCAAGACCACCCAAAUAAUUUCUUUGGACGGAAUAAUCAACAUCUUGUCCAUAAAAUCGAACUUGCGACCGCAUAUCUGACCCCCUCUCUAAUCCAGUGACAUAUGAUCGAUAACCAAUAUCCUCUGCAAUCUCUCUCAUGUUCCCUGUCGAUUGUUCCUCCAAGUUAGCAUGAGGAAAUCCAUGAAUGCCAUGUGAAUACUCCAUACCAUUCAUGCUGUAUUUGCUACCCACAUCUUCAUGAACAUAGGACAUGCUCCCACCAUAAGCUGUUCCAUAUGGCAGAUGUGAGCUAGGCAUGCCAGACUCCAAAUUUGGCAAACUAUUUUCGCCAACCUUUGUGUGCAUGGGCGUUUCAAGAGAUCUAGAUGGGGGACCUUCCUGUGAGGUUCUACCAUCAACCACGUUGGUUGGUGAACGAUGAGGCACUUCCUUGUUCGUAUCACUUCCAGAAGGCUUUCCACCUUUCCACUUGUUCUUGGGUAAUUUUUCACCCGUUCCUCUGCCAAUCUUAUCUUCAAUAUGCUUAGUCUUCCUUGAAGUCUCCUCAGACCGGUUUCUCUCAAGGCCGUGACUAUCUUGGCUUUCUUUGUCACCAUUUUCAUGAGGAGAGCAUUCUUUACGACCUCCAAUCAAAGCUAUCUCAUGAUUUGGUUCUUUACUUUCCAUGUAAAGAUCAUCUGUCACCUCUGAAGUACCAGGAUUGCAACAGUGAACCUCCACUGGAUGAUCAGGGGAUUUUGAGUCAUGGCAACUUUUUUCCAAAUUGGAUCCUCCCCGUCGCAUGAAUAAAUGAUCAUGCUUCUGAGCUAUGGCCUUGUGUUUUACACUCCAAUCAGGACGGCUCCAAAGAUAAAGAAGUGGGGCAGUCACGUUCCACUGUUCCAUUUGUUUAUCAUUCUCAUCAACAGAACCAGGUAGAUAAAAUGACUGGAAGGAUAUAAAAAAACAAGCCACCAUCAAAACCAAAAUCUAUACUCAGCCACUAUGGUAAUAUACAAAACAUCUUAUUCACGUAUUACCUUCCCUGACAAAAACUGAUCAUCCUCCCAAACAAGAUCGUAAGGUGUACGCUUUUUGUCUAACCUUUCUGUUUCUGGUGGAACAAUCAGAAUAAGGAGUUUUGGUUUAAAUUCAAGUGCCUUAUCAAUGAACUUGUUAGCCAAUGCUGCUUUUACUCCAAAAGGAGGGUUGAGUCCCAUGAUCAACUGUGAACCCCUUUUUGGCAGCUCAUCUGGUUGAACAGUCAUCCAAUCCCUCUUCUCAAAAUUGAAGUCAUUCUUUGGUUGGAAAACAUCAUAGUUUUUAUAUGAGCAUUUCUUCCCUGUCUCUUCAAGCUUCUUUUUCAUAAGACAACUAAAAUCAUUCGCACCACAACAGAAGUCAACAACCAUAUCACCAUCUUGUACAUACCAAUGGAGCACAUUGACAAUCUCUUUCAGUUUCUCCACUUUCGUAAAAUGGCGGCCAAAGGAUGUAUAACGCAUUCCAUAGAGAAAUGGUGCAAGAUACACUCUAAGCUUGUUCUAGAGAUAUAUGAACCAAGCAAUGGUGUUAAUAAAGAAAAAAAUGAGUUGUGUUAGCUCUAUUAAAUAGCCCAGCAUCUACAUUAAUCUAUUUUGAGUAGAUUGAUUCAGUCAAGUCUUGUACUACAGCAUGCAGUGAUAAAGACCAAUCAUCUCUAAAUAAAGCAUCAGCAAGAUGACAAAUGCACUCACAGUUACAACUCUACAAUCAAAUAACUUUCAAAUGCACGUGAACAGAAAGGAGAGAAACAAGGAUCCAAUCCUAAGAUUCAUCAACCCGAGCAAAAAAAUUGAGGUACCUGUGUGUGCAUACACAAAGAAUAGGAAAAAAAAAAGGGCACAAAUUCCUCUAAAUUGGGAAUCUUACAUAAGAAUAGCAAUUGCUAACAGAUGUUAUUGGACAACUACCUUCCACUUAAAAACCUGAUUCAGAACCUCUGGUUCACAAACAGCUUUGGCAUCUUCAGUGCUGCAUCCAUCUUCUAGCUUCCUCAAAGCUGUCCUGACAGCCUCAACUGCACCCUCCACCUUUCCUGUCGUAAUUGUCUUGUCAACAACAGUUUUUGAUGAGUAUGCAUGUGUAGAUGGAACUUUAUGCUUUUUCUUGACAUCAUCCAUUGUUAUUGAUGAUGCAGCCUCUUUUAUUAAAGCCAAAAUUCUCUUCUCUGUUUCAGCGUCCAAUGAAGGUAAUUCAUUGCUUAACUUCCGGGCUGAAGUCUUAACUGUCAUAGUUUUAUUGAGUUCACUACUAUGCAAAACCUGCUUCUGAAGUUUUACUUGCUCAGACCUUUUAGUCAUAACCCUAUAUAAUCUGUCACCCAGUGAAGUCUUGUUUAUGGUAGUUGUUGCAGACCUAUCCACAUCUGUUGAGCAAGACUUUGUAUUUUCCUUUAAAGAUUUUCUGAAUGCAUCAUUUGUUUUCACUUUCCUCAACAAAUCUGAUCCAGAUGAUAUUUUUUCACUUCUUUUGAUACUUGCAACCUUUGUCACACCAGAAUAUGACCCAUUAAGUUCUUUAGCAACAGUUUUUGCUGAAAAAGAGUCUUCUGAUGUAAGCCUUCUUUUCUUUGGCAAAAGUUUCCCUGAGCUUCCAGGCAACUCUAAUAUCCGUUUUUUCUUCUUUUCUUCAACAUUAGGGAACCUUAUGUCUCUACUGGGAGUUCCAAGGUCAUCAAUGAUCUCAUGUUUUAAGCAAUAUAUUAAUACACGGUUUGGCAAUAGGCCCUCCCAUGCCCUUGCUGCUGCUGUCUCUUCCUCUUCUUCUUCUCCUCCUCCUCCUCCUCCUACGUCAUCGUCCAAUUCCUUUGCUGCUUCUUCUGCCCGCCCUACCACCAUCUCUCUUCCGCCUCGCUCCUUCAAUGAAACGCUCUUCACCUCUGGCCUCGGUGUGGGCUUCAGCCCGGGCCCUAUGACUCUCGUCUCUAGUUUCUUCUCCGAUUCCGAUGAUUUUAAAUCUUUCUCCCAGCUUCUCGCCGGCGCCAUGGUCUCUCCCGCUGCCAAUACCAACAACAACAACAAACUUCUCGUUCCUCCUCCUCAGGAGAAUAAAAACUCUCUUGCUGACGUCAGCAAGCAGGCCAAUUUGUCCAUCGUUCCGUCGUCGCCGAUGUUCACUGUACCUCCGGGGCUGAGUCCGAUGGCUCUUCUGGAUUCACCGGGGUUCGGGUUCUUAUCUCCCCAGGGACCCUUGGGAAUGACACACCAGCAGGCGCUAGCUCAGGUUACUGCUCAGGCUGUGCAAGCCCAUUCCAGUAUGCAUAUUCAAGCACAGCAUUCAUCUUCUUUGCCAUCAGCACAGGCAACUUCUUCAACGCAGUUUUCAUCUGUUACAACUAAUUCAACUACACACCAGCAGAUGUUACGCUCAAUCCCAGGCCCUAGUGCUUCCAUUAAGGAAUCUUCAGACUUCUCUCGUUCUGAUCAAAGAUUUCAAGCUUCUUCCCUUGUUGUUGAUAAACCUACCGAUGAUGGCUACAAUUGGCGAAAAUAUGGGCAGAAACAGGUGAAAGGCAGUGAAUUUCCACGAAGUUAUUAUAAAUGUACACAUCCCAAUUGUCCUGUCAAGAAAAAGGUUGAGCGAUCUCUUGAUGGUCAAGUAACUGAAAUUAUCUACAAGGGGCAGCACAACCAUCAACCUCCCCAACCCAAUAAGCGUGCAAAGGAUGCUGGAAGCUUGAAUGGAAAUUCAAGUAAUCAGAAUAAUUUUGAACUAGCUUCUCAAUUUCAAAGUGGAAAUGUGAACAAAUUAAAAGAUAGAAAAGAUCAGGAAUCAAGCCAGGCCACACAUGAACUUUUAUCUGGGGCAAGCGACAGCGAGGAAGAUGGUGAUGCUGAAAAUGGUGUAGAUGAAAAUGAUGAAGAUGAACCUGAUCCCAAGAGAAGAAAUACAGAAGUCAAGGUAACAGAUCCAGCUUCUUCACAUAGGACUGUCACAGAAUCUAGAAUCAUUGUGCAGACUACCAGUGAAGUUGAUCUUUUGGAUGAUGGCUACAGGUGGCGCAAGUAUGGCCAGAAGGUAGUGAAAGGAAAUCCCCAUCCAAGGAGUUAUUACAAAUGUACUAGUGCAGGAUGCAAUGUUCGUAAGCAUGUUGAGAGAGCUGCAGCAGACCCCAAAGCUGUCAUAACUACAUAUGAGGGAAAACAUAAUCAUGAUGUUCCUGCAGCUAGAAACAGCAGCCAUAACUCGGCCAACAACAAUGCUCAGUUGAAACCUCAAAAGGUGGUGACCGAGCAGCAUCCGUUGCUUGAAGGGAUGGACUUUGGAAACAAUGAGCAAAGGCCAAUACUUCUACAACUAAAAGAAGAGGAAAUCACUGUAUAAAUGCUCUCUCUGCUGAUAGCUUCUAGACAAAUCAUGAGGAUGAUUCUUGCCUGCUAACAUGUUACAAUGAAGAAACAUGAGAAGAAAGGAAUGUUAUUUGUAAGUGUGAGAAUUUAGCAGUGAUGGUUAUUUUUAACCCUUUAAUUUUUUACCUUUUUGGAUGAAAAGACCGUUUAUAAGAGAAUGCUGUAUUCGCUACAUGUUCUGUACAAUUAAAUUUGACAAAGUGGCACUGUAUAUGACCGUUCACACUGGAGUGGAGAUGACAAUAACCAAGGUUUGAAUGUAAUUCAACUUCUGUUUAGUUUCUGCUAAUUGAGGCUGUCUCCUGAUGUUCUGUUUAUGCUGAAGGUGUGAAGGACCCAUAUAGAGGCAAAUAUGUAAUCAAUUUACAAAAUUGAGAUCCUGUUGUAUUUUGAACUGGUGAAACCUUGCUCUAAGAGUCGAUCCACUGUCUUAUUUUAUAUCUUUUUAUUCCUUUUCAGUUCACUAGAUUAUUU
This 5376-nucleotide unclassified non-coding RNA is filed under the name Hevea brasiliensis (rubber tree). The record is from RNAcentral. Lineage: Eukaryota; Viridiplantae; Streptophyta; Magnoliopsida; Malpighiales; Euphorbiaceae.